ACGUAAAAUUUUAAUAGUCGAACAGACUAAAAUUUAUUCAGCCCCUUCACCAAAAAUAAAAAUUUAAUUCAACAUCGAGGUCGCAAACUUAAUUAUUAAUAAGAACUUGUUAAUCAAAUAACGCUGUUAUCCCUAGAGUAACUUCCCUAUAUAAUAUUUAACUACUUUUAUAAAAAUAUAUAUUCUUCAAAUGUUACCCCAACUAAAAAUUUCACAAAUUUUAAAAGCUUCUAGGGUCUUCUCGUCCCAAAGAUUUAUAAAAGCAUUUUUACUUUUAAUUUAAAUUCAAACUUAUUAAAUAAAACUUUCUUUCUAGUUUCUACCCUUCAUUCCAGCUCCCAAUUAAAAAG
RNAcentral lists this ribosomal RNA (350 nucleotides) under Fonckia sosia. RNAcentral describes it as "partial large subunit ribosomal RNA". Lineage: Eukaryota; Metazoa; Arthropoda; Arachnida; Opiliones; Gonyleptidae. The record is from RNAcentral.